Non-coding RNA from Acanthosepion pharaonis, 113 nucleotides. The record is from the annotation of a GenBank genome assembly. NCBI's taxonomy places the organism in Eukaryota, Metazoa, Mollusca, Cephalopoda, Sepiida, Sepiidae.
AUGGCUAUAUCGUGUUGAGACACCGGUUUUCUUUCGAUGACUAAAGUUAAGCAACGUCGAGUCUGGUCAGUACCUAGAUGGGUAACCGCUUGGGAAUACCAGGUGUUGCAAGC